RNAcentral lists this ribosomal RNA (292 nucleotides) under uncultured bacterium. Its description in RNAcentral is "partial 16S ribosomal RNA". RNAcentral also lists the same sequence under 1 other name. The record is from RNAcentral.
GGACUACUCGGGUAUCUAAUCCUGUUUGCUCCCCACGCUUUCGUGCCUCAGUGUCAGUAUUAGUCCAGAAAGUUGCCUUCGCCAUUGAUGUUCCUCCCGAUAUCUACGCAUUUCACCGCUACACCGGGAGUUCCACUUUCCUCUACCAUACUCUAGAUAUCCAGUAUCGGAUGCAGUUCCCAGGUUAAGCCCGGGGAUUUCACAUUCGACUUAAAUAUCCACCUACGCACGCUUUACGCCCAGUAAUUCCGAUUAACGCUCGCACCCUCUGUAUUACCGCGGCUGCUGGCAC